RNAcentral lists this ribosomal RNA (329 nucleotides) under uncultured eukaryote. RNAcentral's name for it is "partial 18S ribosomal RNA". It matches the Rfam family "Eukaryotic small subunit ribosomal RNA", at positions 1470 to 1796 of the family's 1831-position model. The record is from RNAcentral.
CCCUUAGAUGUUCUGGGCCGCACGCGCGCUACACUGACGAUGGCAACGAGUUUUCCCUUCGCCGAAAGGUGUGGGUAAUCUUUUGAAACAUCGUCGUGCUGGGGAUAGAUCAUUGCAAUUUUUGAUCUUGAACGAGGAAUUCCUAGUAAGCGCGAGUCAUCAGCUCGCGUUGAUUACGUCCCUGCCCUUUGUACACACCGCCCGUCGCUACUACCGAUUGAAUGGUUUAGUGAGGACUCCUGAUUGGCGCCGCCGCCCCGGCAACGGAGCAGCGGACUGCCGAAAAGUUGUUCAAACUUGAUCAUUUAGAGGAAGUAAAAGUCGUAACA